GAUGACCCCUAGCGGCAGGCCUAACACAUGCAAGUCGAGGGGUAACAGAAAAGCUUGCUUUUGCUGACGACCGGCGCACGGGUGCGUAACGCGUAUGCAACCUACCUCAUACUGGAGGAUAGCCCCUGGAAACGGGGAUUAAUACUCCAUAGUAUCACAAUUUCGCAUGUUAUUGUGAUUAAAGUUUUUCGGUAUGAGAUGGGCAUGCGUCCCAUUAGCUUGUUGGUGAGGUAACGGCUCACCAAGGCAACGAUGGGUAGGGGGCCUGAGAGGGUGGUCCCCCACACUGGUACUGAGACACGGACCAGACUCCUACGGGAGGCAGCAGUGAGGAAUAUUGGUCAAUGGAGGAAACUCUGAACCAGCCAUGCCGCGUGAAGGAUGACGGCCCUAUGGGUUGUAAACUUCUUUUAUAGAGGAAGAAACUUGUCUACGUGUAGACAACUGACGGUACUCUACGAAUAAGGAUCGGCUAACUCCGUG
RNAcentral lists this ribosomal RNA (483 nucleotides) under uncultured bacterium. Its description in RNAcentral is "bacterial SSU rRNA". It matches the Rfam family "Bacterial small subunit ribosomal RNA", at positions 28 to 507 of the family's 1533-position model. The record is from RNAcentral.